CUGAAUACAAUCUUUUACUGUUAGAUAGUGAAGGGAUUGAUGCUUACGACCAAACGGGUACCUAUAGCACUCAGAUAUUCUCAUUAGCUGUUCUUUUGUCAAGCAUGUUCGUAUACAAUCAGAUGGGAGGUAUCGACGAAGCUUCACUCGAUCGUCUUUCUCUUGUCACUCAAAUGACAAAGCAUAUCCGCGU
This is a non-coding RNA of Camelina sativa (false flax), 193 nucleotides long. The record is from RefSeq and is a predicted model, not a curated record. NCBI's taxonomy places the organism in Eukaryota, Viridiplantae, Streptophyta, Magnoliopsida, Brassicales, Brassicaceae.